CAGCCCCUCCCGCUCUCCAUUCCGUGGCAGAGUGCCCAGGACGGUGAGACCUGGGGAUGUGACUGCUGCCUCUGCUCGAUAAGGCUACUGAGGCACUGGG
Long non-coding RNA from Neomonachus schauinslandi (Hawaiian monk seal), 100 nucleotides. RefSeq lists it as uncharacterized. The record is from RefSeq and is a predicted model, not a curated record. Lineage: Eukaryota; Metazoa; Chordata; Mammalia; Carnivora; Phocidae. The transcript has 3 exons.